RNAcentral lists this ribosomal RNA (879 nucleotides) under uncultured bacterium. RNAcentral's name for it is "bacterial SSU rRNA". It matches the Rfam family "Bacterial small subunit ribosomal RNA", at positions 26 to 902 of the family's 1533-position model. The record is from RNAcentral.
AGGAUGAACGCUGGCGGCGUGCUUAACACAUGCAAGUCGAACGAAGCACUCUAUUUGAUUUUCUUCGGAAAUGAAGAUUUUGUGACUGAGUGGCGGACGGGUGAGUAACGCGUGGGUAACCUGCCUCAUACAGGGGGAUAACAGUUGGAAACGACUGCUAAUACCGCAUAAGCGCACAGGAUUGCAUGAUCCGGUGUGAAAAACUCCGGUGGUAUGGGAUGGACCCGCGUCUGAUUAGCCAGUUGGCAGGGUAACGGCCUACCAAAGCGACGAUCAGUAGCCGACCUGAGAGGGUGACCGGCCACAUUGGGACUGAGACACGGCCCAAACUCCUACGGGAGGCAGCAGUGGGGAAUAUUGCACAAUGGGGGAAACCCUGAUGCAGCGACGCCGCGUGAGCGAAGAAGUAUUUCGGUAUGUAAAGCUCUAUCAGCAGGGAAGAAGAAUGACGGUACCUGACUAAGAAGCACCGGCUAAAUACGUGCCAGCAGCCGUGGUAAUACGUAUGGUGCAAGCGUUAUCCGGAUUUACUGGGUGUAAAGGGAGCGCAGGCGGUGCGGCAAGUCUGAUGUGAAAGCCCGGGGCUCAACCCCGGUACUGCAUUGGAAACUGUCGUACUAGAGUGUCGGAGGGGUAAGUGGAAUUCCUAGUGUAGCGGUGAAAUGCGUAGAUAUUAGGAGGAACACCAGUGGCGAAGGCGGCUUACUGGACGAUAACUGACGCUGAGGCUCGAAAGCGUGGGGAGCAAACAGGAUUAGAUACCUUGGUAGUCCACGCCGUAAACGAUGAAUACUAGGUGUCGGGGAGCAUUGCUCUUCGGUGCCGCAGCAAACGCAAUAAGUAUUCCACCUGGGGAGUACGUUCGCAAGAAUGAAACUC